AACACAUGCAAGUCGAGGGGUAACGGAAGUAGCUUGCUACUAGACGACGACCGGCGCACGGGUGAGUAACGCGUAUGUAAUCUGCCUUGUACAGAGGGAUAGCCCAGAGAAAUUUGGAUUAAUACCUCAUAGUAUUACUGAAUCGCAUGAUUUGGUAAUUAAAGCUCCGGCGGUACAAGAUGAACAUGCGUGACAUUAGCUAGUUGGUAAGGUAACGGCUUACCAAGGCCACGAUGUCUAGGGGUUCUGAGAGGAUGAUCCCCCACACUGGUACUGAGACACGGACCAGACUCCUACGGGAGGCAGCAGUGAGGAAUAUUGGUCAAUGGACGCAAGUCUGAACCAGCCAUCCCGCGUGAAGGAUGACUGCCCUAUGGGUUGUAAACUUCUUUUAUAUGCAAAUAAACCUACUUUCGUGAAAGUAGCUGAAGGUAGCAUAUGAAUAAACACCGGCUAACUCCGUGCCAGCAGCCGCGGUAAUACGGAGGGUGUAAGCGUUAUCCGGAUUUAUUGGGUUUAAAGGGUACGUAGGCGGUAAUAUAAGUCAGUGGUGAAAUCCUGCAGCUCAACUG
Molecule: ribosomal RNA, 572 nt
Filed under: uncultured bacterium
Lineage: Bacteria
Description: bacterial SSU rRNA
Rfam family: Bacterial small subunit ribosomal RNA
Source: RNAcentral